AGGAGAAUUUUCAAACUUGUAGAAUAAUCUCACAACAUCAGAAGCAAAACUUUUGGCGAGUUUUUAAACAGGAGCAUUUCCAAACUUAUGGAAUGAUCUAACAACAUCAGGGUCAAAACAUUUGGAGACAUUUACAAAAGGAGAAUUUCCAAACUUGUGGAAUAAUCGCACAACAUCAGAAGAAAAAGUUUGGCGACUUUUAUAAACAGGAGAAUUUCUCAACUUGUGGAAGAAUCUUUAAACAGAAGAACAAAAACUUUCGGCGACUUUUACAAGGUUUGGACCUACUUAAAAAAAAAACUUCAAGCCGAACAAAACCCUGGAUUUUUU
Mytilus trossulus (common blue mussel) is the source of this 330-nucleotide long non-coding RNA. RefSeq lists it as uncharacterized. Lineage: Eukaryota; Metazoa; Mollusca; Bivalvia; Mytilida; Mytilidae. The record is from RefSeq and is a predicted model, not a curated record. The transcript has 4 exons.